Peromyscus maniculatus bairdii (prairie deer mouse) is the source of this 3042-nucleotide non-coding RNA. The record is from RefSeq and is a predicted model, not a curated record. Lineage: Eukaryota; Metazoa; Chordata; Mammalia; Rodentia; Cricetidae.
GAAGACAGCUCUUCUAGGAAGUACACUCUACAACAUGGGUGGAUCUUCCAUCCAGAAGGGACACCAGACAGGACGUUCCCAGCAGGUGACAGCUUGCUUUCUGCCCUGUCAGCCAGGUGGCACUUCACCUCUGAGCUUCCGGGAGCUUGUCCUUUGAUAGACUGGUUUCGUUAGCCGUGAGCAGAAACGCACUUGUCCAAACAUCUGCAAACGAAUAUGAAGGUUAACUAGGAGCACUUUAGAGUGAGUCUGGGACCCCUGGCUGCCGUCAGUUGCUUUCACAGAAGAAUUUCUUUGUCACAUUUGCCACAGGCUAUUUUAUUUCACGGGCUCUAAGCAAUAUCGAAGCACAAAGCAGGAAUCGGGGAAAAGGCUAAGUAGCAGAACUAACAAGGAACCAGAAGAGAGCAUUAGAACCCCUGGGCUGGAGGUACAAGCCCCUCUGGGUCACCCAAUGUGGACGCUGGUCCUCUGAUAGAGCAGCAAGCACUGUUAAGGGACGAACCACCUCUCAUCCCAAAACUUUUCUUCUUAAAAAGCCAGUCUCUGGUCCUUUGAUGAUGACUUUGAGACAGUCUGGACACCUGGAGAGCUGCAUCUGAAGCUUAGAGCCUCUCCCAGCAAGCCACACCAAAGGCCUUUUCCUACCGAGGGGUCGCCCUGACUCCCAAAUCAAUAAUUUAAAGGCCUCUAGCCUCCUGUCUAUUCCAAUUCUUUGGCUCUCAAGGAGUCGCCAGUAAUCCUUUCUCUUUGCCUGUGGUUGACAAAGAGGAAGACAUAUUUGGAAGAAUAAACACUCACUGAUUUAUUUACAUUAAAUAAUACUUUGCUCUCUCUCUCUCUCACUGGCCUUUCGAAAGCAGUCAUGUGACCAUGACUCAGCAGGGUUUGUGUGAUAUCAAGCUUGUAGGUGGGGCAGUGUCAAGGAGAGGCCAAAGCUUUGCUUUUGAGACUUGCCACUAAUUCAGCACCCGGUGUUUGGAAGAAAGGAUACGGAGGAUGCUCCUUGAACAGUUUGUAACUCUGGGCUUUCUCUUAUAAUGUUCAGUUCAUUGUAAAUGACCCUUCCAUGUGCCUAAGCAUUCUGUCUUCUCUCUGUUCAGACUGCAAACGCCUAAGGCCAGGUAGAGUGGCCCAGGCCUGUAUGCCAGCACUCCGGAAGCAGAGUUAGAAGGGUCCUCCAAGUUCUAAGCCUUCCUGGUCUUGUGUUUCAGCCUAGCCAGGGUUACGUGUGAGACUCUGUCACAAAUACACAACACCAAAACACCAAAGGCUGUAUGUAUAAGUGUGAGACCAGUGUCCCCAUGCAUCCAUCCAUCCAUGCAUCCAUGCAUCCAUCCAUGCAUCCAGGCAUCCAUCCAUCCAUCCAUCCAUCCAUCUAUCCAUCCACUUAUGCAUGUGUGGUGCGCCGCUGUGCUGGAAGGUAUUCAACAUGAAUAAAGUGCAUUCCUUGCUUCCGAGAUGUUCACGGUCUUCUAGUCUGUUGAUCUUACUACAAUUUGUGUCUCCCCAGGUGCUGAACACAGAAGAGAUUCAUGAAAGCUGGCAGCUUGAGACAGUGCUGACUGUGAACCUAGGAGGGCACCAUGGUGCUGUGAAGGAAUGUUUCUGGACCUGGGACCUCUCCUAAGGCUGACAUGAAGGACAACGGUUGUUCAGGUCUAACAAAGGUCGGGGCUACCUUCUCCUGAGGAAACGGGCUGACUUUUCACACAGACAAAUGACCACUCAUCAAGAAGGGGUAUGGGAAGAGACAAGAGGCUGGGAGAGGUAAUGUCUCCUGAGUGCUGCCGAGGGCACAGAACUCCACACACUCUCUCUCACAUCGUGAACGAUUGCUCAAAGGUGCUGGGGGUAGCAGAUACUAUUGCUUAGCCCAAGGAACGUGUUGCGAAGCAGCCGUGUAUAAGGCUAUGACCAGGAACACGACAUGGAAGCUAAGCGCUGUUUGAAUGGCCCGAGACUGAGAAAUGGAGAUCACACGCAUUCUCUGGGAGACAGAGAGGUUAAAUGAGUUGCCCUCGGUCAGAAAAGAUCAGAGACCAGAACAUGGCCACCUGGCUUUGCCCCCACAUCCUCCUCACCCAACCACUAUUUCCUACUUUGCAAGUGAGGAAAUACCAGCUCGGCUAACAAGCCAUCGGUUUUGACUAGAGACUCCGGUGAGAAUCUGCCUGCAAAGUAGAGAGCGUCAACUUGGUUCAGUGCAAAACCAAAGUAAGCCUGGAGGAGAGGAGAGUGCCAAGUUUCCGGUCCGCAGGGACCUUGCACAGACCACUCAACCGUGCGCUGCUGUAGGGAGGGUUCAGGGCCUCGAGGGAAUCCCUUCACCUUUGUCCUCCACUGUAGCAGGCCUAGUUCGGGCUUCCGGCCUCUGCCUCCUGAGAUGAACAGACCUCGGCCUCCCUCCCUCCCUGUAAGGUGCCUGGUGGGGUGGAGGGAGGGCCAUCUGGGUCCUGUCACCAGCCUCCACUGCAUUGGUGCUGGAGGAGGAUCAUCAGCCCAUGGGUGCUUUUCUUCAUCUCCCCAGCGGGUGCUGACAGCUGAGCCAUUCCACACACCUUUGGGGCAAAGAACUGCCGGAAGCCGGGUCCAAGUUCAAAGACUGGACAUUCUUUCCGAGGCUGCCAGGAGCACCCUGGAGGGCCGGCUCCCACGUUGCAUAAGCCGCAGGUUAGCAGGUCCGCGGCCGCUGAUGCGCUCAGCCUUGGCCUCUCCGGACUUGAGCAACUAUUACGUAGAAGCACUUGUUCAGUGUGGCGACAGGUUCUUCUGCAUUGCUACCAAACGCGUGGUGCAUCUGCCCGGACUCACUCAGACAACACUAAAGCUCUUCGCCACCAGGUGGUUAAAGCUGCCUGGUGGGGCUGGCAGGAGGCACAGCCAUGACUUACUGUAGCUCUUGGCCCAGGCCACCGAACACUCAGUACCUUGUACCCCGUUAGCCUUGGGCAGUAAAGCCUGUGAUAAAAUGUUCUUUUUUCGUGUUUGUUUUUCCUGGCAGUCUCAUUUUGGGAUAUAAAUGGCUCAUUAUUUCCAUCC